This 267-nucleotide ribosomal RNA is filed under the name Colostygia pectinataria. RNAcentral's name for it is "partial 28S ribosomal RNA". It matches the Rfam family "Eukaryotic large subunit ribosomal RNA", at positions 106 to 354 of the family's 3401-position model. The record is from RNAcentral. Lineage: Eukaryota; Metazoa; Arthropoda; Insecta; Lepidoptera; Geometridae.
AGCCCAGCACUGAAUCCCGUCGUUGUAACGGCGGCGGGAGAUGUGGUGUUCGGGAGGUUCCGCUUUCUUGUCGUCGUCCACUCCUGUCCAAGUUCGUCUUGAACGGGGCCCAUUUCCCAUAGAGGGUGCCAGGCCCGUAGCGACGGAGGACGGCGGCGAGAGGGACUCUCCUCAGAGUCGGGUUGCUUGAGAGUGCAGCCCUAAGUGGGUGGUAAACUCCAUCUAAGGCUAAAUAUUACCGCGAGACCGAUAGCGAACAAGUACCGU